GCUGGAAUUGUAUGAUUGUGAAGACAUCGCGAACCUUAAAGGUUGAGAAGUGAACGGAUUAUACGGCGAACUGAGACGACGUGAAAAAGGGGAUUGGAAGCGGCAUUGAUGUGAGUACUAAGAGCCAGUCGAAAGUGCCCUGUAUAUUGACCUGGCGUUGUGUAGAUCUCUCCAGGAGGAGGAGGGCGGCCCUACCCCUAAUAUAGCGUGGUGGGAGAGCCGAAGGAAUACUUAUUGAAGUAGUCACAACGACGACAUCACUAGCUAGGCCGCAUAUUCCAUCGCCAGAUCCGAACCAAGCGAAGUGAAGGAAGACGGGUGUCCUUUUCGUACACUGAGUGUGGUGGGUGAGUCUUCAUGCUGUGAAAACCUAUAAUUUUGACGUGGUGCUGUAUAUUGCUGUGGGCUGCUGUGUAUUGCCGUGUGUCCUGUCAGAUAAACCCCCGCCUUCACGCACUUCGUCGCGGGAGGACAAGGAGACUGCUGGUCCUAGCCUAGUUCAGUACAGUAUAUGUUGUGAGCGUGCUUCAGAUCUCCGGAGAUAGCACAGUACGCUGUGUCCAGCCCAGAGGUGAAAGCCAUCCAAAGCAGAGUAACUGUGCUUUGCGUCCAAGUUGAUACCUGUGGAGAGGAAAGGAAAGAGAGUGAAUAACACGAGGAGGAAUAGAGCGAACCCUGUACUUACAGUACGCUGUGUCCAGCCCAGAGGUGAAAGCCAUCCAAAGCAGAGUAACUGUGCUUUGCGUCCAAGUUGAUACCUGUGGAGAGGAAAGGAAAGAGAGUUUGAUACCUGUGGAGAGAAAAGGAGAGAGAGGGAAUAACACGAGGAGGAAUAGAGCGAACCCUGUACUUACAGUACGCUGUGUCCAGCCCAGAGCCGUUGCCUGUGGAGGAAGAGAAAGAGAGUGAGCACCCCGAGAACGAACUGUGUGAACCAGUACUUACCGUGAGCUGUAUUCAGCGAAGAGGAGGAAGAAGGAGGGCGCUACGGAUACCUAAGACUCAGGCCGGGGCCCGAGUCCCACGCCCCGGAUCCCCGUGGCCCCCUUGCUCCCUGACCUCUUCCCGGCCAUAGCCCAUCUGGAGGGCCGAGUCAGAGUUUAGUUUUAAUUGCCCUUUCCCUAUUCCCCAAGCUAUUUUUAAAUAUUUAAAUAAAGAUUGUUUUAUCACUUACUUGUUCUCGUGU
Long non-coding RNA from Cyprinus carpio (common carp), 1186 nucleotides. Lineage: Eukaryota; Metazoa; Chordata; Actinopteri; Cypriniformes; Cyprinidae. The record is from Ensembl.